Molecule: non-coding RNA, 88 nt
Filed under: Elusimicrobiota bacterium
Lineage: Bacteria; Pseudomonadati; Elusimicrobiota
Description: Elusimicrobia bacterium c-di-GMP sequence
Rfam family: c-di-GMP-I riboswitch aptamer
About the family: GEMM was predicted in a large-scale screen for bacterial structured RNA regulatory elements. Genes associated with GEMM are involved in a diverse array of functions, including chemotaxis regulation, signal transduction, secretion and chitin.
Source: RNAcentral
UUAUGUAACUGGCAAACCCGGGGAAACCCGGGGACGCAAAGCCACGGAGCUAAAGAUAGGGGCUAUCUACGCUAGCCGGGCCGCCGAA